CGGAACUUCCGCCGCCGUAGCCGCCGCCGCGCCCGCCUCCGUAGCCGCCGCCGCCGGAACUAUCAGGAGGAAGGGUCCCGUUCGGUUAACUCUAACUUUUUGAAAAAGGGCUGCGGUAGGUUUGAAUUUCAUUCUCCAGUCGGAUCUUAAUGUCCAGGAGUUGUUGGUACUCAGCAUUCUGGCACUCGGUUUCAGCUCGAAUCUGUUGGAGUUGUUCCUCCAGAGAGGAGAUCUGGGCCUGAAUCUGUGAGAGCUGCACACAAUAGCGACCUUCUGUUUCUGCCAACGAGGAUUCCAGGGAUUGUUUCUGAAAAAGGAGAGAAGGAUUAAUGUUCUUGAAAAAGUAUUGUCAUGACUUCAUCAACGUACUCAAGCACCUAUGAUGGAUUUCUCUUGUGGUUGGAUUAAGUCUUCUCAACAGCCUUGCCUGACUCUGUCCAACUUAAUGCUCCCUGCGUUUACUGCUCAGUUGGAAAGAAGUGAGAAAAUUGUGAGGUGAGACUUUUCUCCCAGCAAUGAACCUCAGUGACCCUGCAUCCCAGGGAACAGUUUCCCCUUUUGGAUGGCUGCCCUGGCUAUAAACAGUAGUAGCCCCUCUCCAGGUGGAGUUUCUGAUGGAAUCCUAAAAGCAGUUGAAAAUUAAAAAAUCCGGAAAGAAGGCCUCCAUCAUUGCCAGAGAGAAUACCUCCAAAGCCACCUCCUGCGCUUCCCCCAAAUCCAAUUCCCAGGCCACCAAAGCCACCUCCCAGACCUCCAAAGCCACCUCCCAGACCUCCAGAGCCA
Zalophus californianus (California sea lion) is the source of this 783-nucleotide long non-coding RNA. RefSeq lists it as uncharacterized. The transcript is spliced from 5 exons. NCBI's taxonomy places the organism in Eukaryota, Metazoa, Chordata, Mammalia, Carnivora, Otariidae. The record is from RefSeq and is a predicted model, not a curated record.